RNAcentral lists this unclassified non-coding RNA (333 nucleotides) under soil metagenome. RNAcentral describes it as "partial contains 5.8S ribosomal RNA, internal transcribed spacer 2, and large subunit ribosomal RNA". The stretch from base 1 to 120 matches the Rfam family "5.8S ribosomal RNA", at positions 35 to 154 of the family's 154-position model. The record is from RNAcentral.
GAUGAAGAACGUGGCGAAAUGCGAUAAGUAAUGUGAAUUGCAGAAUUCAGUGAAUCAUCGAAUCUUUGAACGCACAUUGCGCCCCUCGGUAUUCCGUGGGGCAUGCCUGUUCGAGCGUCAUUUACCCCUCAAGCACUGCUUGGUGUUGGGCGUCUGUCCCGCUUCGCGCGCGGACUCGCCCCAAAGGUAUUGGCAGCGGUCGUGCCAGCUUCUCGCGCAGCACAUUGCGCUUCUCGAGGCGGUCGAUCGGCGUCCACGAAGCUCACCUCCACCGUUUGACCUCGGAUCAGGUAGGGAUACCCGCUGAACUUAAGCAUAUCAAUAAGCGGAGGA